Molecule: transfer-messenger RNA, 349 nt
Filed under: Seleniivibrio woodruffii
Lineage: Bacteria; Pseudomonadati; Deferribacterota; Deferribacteres; Deferribacterales; Geovibrionaceae
Description: Standard tmRNA
Rfam family: transfer-messenger RNA
About the family: Bacterial tmRNA, also known as 10Sa RNA or SsrA, is named for its dual tRNA and mRNA-like properties. Its role is to liberate the mRNA from a stalled ribosome.
Source: Rfam by way of RNAcentral
GGGGGCGCACGGUUUCGACGGGGAAACGUAGGCCACGGGAGCAUGCCGGGGGGGUUACCCCGUUAGUAAAGCCAAAGCAUAUAAUUGCUAACGACGAAUACGCACUCGCUGCCGCUUAAGGCACGAUGUCCUCAGUUAAGACUCGCCCAUGGUCUGACUGAGGGCACAAACAACUAGUGGGAUUGCUCCUUUGAUUGUCUCGGCUCAGGGGUGAAAUUUAGGGACUGCUUCCGCCUGUAGAAUUGUCUGUGUUUCAGCAGGCGGGAAAAGACAAAUACAUAGACUAAGCAUGUAGGGCCUUUGGUUGAAAGUUCUUCGGACGUGGGUUCGAUUCCCACCGCCUCCAUUU